GAUGAACGCUAGCGGCAGGCUUAACACAUGCAAGUCGAGGGGUAACAUAGAAAAGCUUGCUUUUCUGAUGACGACCGGCGCACGGGUGCGUAACGCGUAUACAACCUACCUCUUAGCGGGGAAUAGCCCAGGGAAACUUGGAUUAAUGCCCCAUAGUAUAUAGACUUCUCCUGAAGUUUAUAUUAAACAUUUAUGGCUAUUAGAUGGGUAUGCGUCCUAUUAGUUAGUUGGUAAGGUAACGGCUUACCAAGGCAGCGAUAGGUAGGGGUCCUGAGAGGGAGAUCCCCACACUGGUACUGAGACACGGACCAGACUCCUACGGGAGGCAGCAGUGAGGAAUAUUGGACAAUGGGCGAGAGCCUGAUCCAGCCAUGCCGCGUGCAGGAAGACUGCCCUAUGGGUUGUAAACUGCUUUUACAGAGGAAGAACCACCCCACGUGUGGGGGUUUGACGGUACUCUGCGAAUAAGGAUCGGCUAACUCCGUG
RNAcentral lists this ribosomal RNA (486 nucleotides) under uncultured bacterium. RNAcentral describes it as "bacterial SSU rRNA". It matches the Rfam family "Bacterial small subunit ribosomal RNA", at positions 28 to 507 of the family's 1533-position model. The record is from RNAcentral.